GACAACCUGCUUGGAUCGCCUUCGACGCCGUGUGAGCUUUCUUCUUUAGCUGUUUGCAAUAAAUCCUGCUGCUGCUCAGGCUUUGGGUCCACACUGCUUUUAUGAGCUGUGACACUGGUCACGAAAGUCUGCAGUUUCAUUCCUGAAGCCAGUGAGACCACACACCCACUAGGAGGAAUGAACAGCUCCAGAUGUGCUGCCUUAGGAGCUGUAACACUCACCACGAAGGUCUACAGUGUCACUCGUAAGUCCGCGAGACCAGGAACCCACCAGAAGGAAGAAACUAUGAACACAUGUGAACAUCAGAAGGAACAAACUCCGGACACGCUGCGUUUAAGGACUGUAACACUCACUGCGAGGGUCCAUGGGUUCAUUCUUGAAGUCAGUGAAACCAAGAACCCACCAAUUCCAGACAUAUUAUUAUCCUAUAACCAAACACUUAUUAGUUGUGAUUUUAUUCCAUUUUCAACAGGUUUGAGUGGACUUGAAAUGUAUGGACCAUAGGUCACUGAAAAAGCUAAUUUUCCUUCUUGAAAGAUAAUCAGAAGAACCAAAUUGAAGUUUCACAUGCCAAUUUUGAUUAUCUUUCUAUAAGUAGUUAGAAUGUUAUUUUUUAAGCUACAGAGCAAUUAAUGACUAGAACUGCAGGAACUAUUUAAUUGGGUAUUGAUUUAAAGCCAAGCUGUUGUUUGGCUGAAGCAUUGCAUUAUAAUUAACGGACCUUAACCAGACUUUAAUUUUUCUACAUUAUAUUUGAUUUUCAAGCGUUGCAAUAGCAACCUUCAAACAAUCUACAGAGCAAGGCUUGUAUUAUUCCUAUUAAAUUUUUAAAGUUUUGACUGAAUUUUUAACAUACCUUAAAGACAUCUGGCUUUUGAUAGUAACUUCAAAGUUUGCUGCAUUGUGAAAACGGUACACUCAAGAUUAAAUUCUCCAACUGACAUAUUGUCAAUUAGUCAAUAAAUUCAUUCAUAAUUUCAUACAUGAUAAUAUUAUCAGUGGCAGGGUUUACUGAGGAAGACUGUACCUUAUUUCCCUGCAGUUCUGGAGCCAAAUAGAUUCUCAUGUGUUUGGAAUGAUACAGCUAAACACUUACUUGAGGGGCAGAAGACGGGGCAAAAUGCCUUUUCAAAGACUCAUCCAUAAUAUUCAAUGACUGAUUAGUCUCUGUAGAAUGGAAGAAAUAUAUGAGUUUGUAAUUUUUAAAAUCGCCAUCUGGCCACUGUUUGAUUUGGUAUAAUACUUUAAAUUCAAGUCUUGCUAUGUUUAAGAUGACCACUUAAAAUUUUAUAUUUGGAGGAUUCAAUUAAAUGCUUAUCAAGUUCACAGCAUCGUUAAGAUCUGUAAGGAUACAAAAAUGAACAAAACAUGCAUGUUACAUGUAACAAAACGUGGAUUACAGCCUACUUUGAACACAAUAUUGCAUAAAUAACUAAACCACAAGGCAAUACAUGCUGUAUAUAAUGUACUAAUUAAAUCUUUUUACAAAACUUACUAAAAUUAUCAAUCAUCUCUUUUUUAAUGUAAAUUUUAUUCUGUAUAUUUAAGGUAUACAACAGGGGUCCCCAACCCCCGAGCUGUGGACAAGUAGCUACACGUGGCCUGUUAGUAACAGGGCCGCACAGCAGGAGGUGAGCAGCAAGUGAGCAUUACUGCCUGAGCUCCACCUCCUGUCAGAUCAGCAGCAGCAUUCGAUUCUCACAGGAGACAAGCCCUAUUGUGAACUGCCCAACUGAGGGAUCUAGGUUGUGUGUGUGCUCCUUUUGAGCAGCUAACUAAUGCCUGGUGCUCUGAGGUGGAACAGUUUCAUCCCAAAACUAUACUCCUGCCCCCACCCCAGGUACGCGGAAAAACUGUCUUCCAGGAGACUGGUUCCUGGUGCCAAAGAGAUUGAGGACUGCUGAUAUACAGCAUUAUUUUAUAAGACAAAUAUAUAUGUGUGUGUGUACACACACAACUUUACAUAUGUGGUGACCAUUAUAUACGUAAAUAUGUAUGUGUAAAUUUACAUAUAUAUUUAAAAUGGUCACUAUACUGGAACAAAUUUGCAUAUCUAUCAUCUCACGUAGUUACCCACUUUCUCCUCACUGUGAUAAGAACAGUCAUUGAGCAAAAAUCCUGAACACAAUUCACUAUUAUUAACUGCAGUACUCAUUGGAUCUUUUGAUUUCUUCCUGCUACAUAUUUGCUACUUUGCAUCCUUUGACCUUCAUCUCCUCAUUUCCUCUUUCCUUUGACCCUGGUAACACUGUUUUAUGAUCUAGCUCAAUACGUUUGAUUUUUUUUUUUUUAGAUUCCACAUGUGAGAUCAUGUAAAAUUUUUCUGUCUGUAUCUGGCUUAUUUUACUUAGCCUAAUGUCUUCUAGGUCUAUUCAUGUUGUGGCAAAUGACCAGUGUGUCAGUCUUUAAGGCUGAGUGUGUGUAUGUGUGUGUGUGUGUGUCUGUGUUUGUGUGCGCGUGCACGCCAUUCAUUGUCCUUACAAGUGUUUACUUUUCUUCCCAGCUGCUAUUAUAGCCAAAUAUCCUUAAUUUCAAGUCUUAUCAAUGUUACCUAAUAGUUGCUACGAAAGAUUCUAUGGUGUAAAAGUUUCGGUCUCCUCCAUCUUAUUUUGCUAUUCUAACAUAUGAGUCUAGCUGCUUGUUUCUGCUGUAGGGUGGUUUGGGAAUUUGUUGUAAUCCCCACCGCAAUUUCAAGUCUGGCAACUGGUGCUCCCUUUUUAAAGUGUGGAACAGCUACUUUGUGUCAGCUCCUGGGAGAGCUCACACACUGGGGAAACAGCAGUGGAACACUUGCAGGAAGGGUUAUACUGGCUGAAUUUUAAAGCACUUCAAUGGAUUCAAGACUCCAGUACAUUUUAUUGAUUGUGGAGCUCAGAGCGUAACUGGUUGAAUCGCUCAGGAAGUAGAUGUUCAGGAUUAACCAUGCGGUGUUUAGAUAUGAGUCACUGAGUGACCUUUAAUUUACUCUGCAUCUUCAAAAUCAGGCGGUGUGAAGAAAAAUAAGGCAGUAGAUUGUAGAUUUAUUUCCAUUUCAGAUCAACUAAGAGUCACUUGCUGUUUUUAUAGCAGAAUGGAGAAACACAACCAAGGAGAUACACCUAAGUAACAACAGCAAUGAUGUCAAAAAGAGUGCCUGAAUACUUAGGGUGGAGGUCCUGGACAUGCAAACCCAAGCUUCCUCUUUGCUGUGGCCAGGAAUCUGCAGUGAUUGAGAGCACAGACUGUAUCUAAAAUUCCACCUUUCAAAGUUCAGCAUAUUACUUUUUUUUUUCUUACACCUAUAAUAGAGGGAAAGAAAGGAUGUUCCUAUCCAUUCUUAAGGUACAGAGGAAUGAAGAAGGAAUAAACAGACCUUCUGGAUAAUUGCAUCAGCCUUCCCCACUAUU
RNAcentral lists this long non-coding RNA (3386 nucleotides) under Homo sapiens (human). RNAcentral's name for it is "HSALNT0322425". Lineage: Eukaryota; Metazoa; Chordata; Mammalia; Primates; Hominidae. The record is from RNAcentral.